Molecule: small RNA, 35 nt
Filed under: Romboutsia hominis
Lineage: Bacteria; Bacillati; Bacillota; Clostridia; Peptostreptococcales; Peptostreptococcaceae
Description: T-box
Source: RNAcentral
AAUUUAGGUGGCAUCGCGGAGAAAACUUCGUCCUA